CCCCUAGAUGUUCUGGGCCGCACGCGCGCUACACUGGUCGAUGCAACGAGUUUCUUUCCUUGGCCGACAGGCCUGGGCAAUCUUUGAACAUCGAUCGUGAUCGGGAUAGAUUCUUGUAAUUUUUGAUCUUAAACGAGGAAUUCCUAGUAAACGCAAGUCAUCAGCUUGCAUUGAUUACGUCCCUGCCCUUUGUACACACCGCCCGUCGCACCUACCGAUUGAAUGGUCCGGUGAAAUCUCCGGACUGGCGUGAGUCGGAGCAAUCUGACAAACACCGGAAAGUUGAUUAAACCUUACCAUUCAGAGGAAGGUGAAGUCGUAACA
Molecule: ribosomal RNA, 324 nt
Filed under: uncultured eukaryote
Lineage: Eukaryota
Description: partial 18S ribosomal RNA
Rfam family: Eukaryotic small subunit ribosomal RNA
Source: RNAcentral